UACGGAGGGUGCAAGCGUUAUCCGGAUUCACUGGGCUUAAAGGGUGCGUAGGUGGGUUUGUAAGUCAGUGGUGAAAUCUCCAAGCUUAACUUGGAAACUGCCGUUGAUACUAUAAAUCUUGAAUGUUGUGGAGGUGAGCGGAAUAUGUCAUGUAGCGGUGAAAUGCUUAGAUAUGACAUAGAACACCAAUUGCGAAGGCAGCUCACUACACAAAGAUUGACACUGAGGCACGAAAGCGUGGGGAUCAAACAGG
This 253-nucleotide ribosomal RNA is filed under the name uncultured bacterium. RNAcentral's name for it is "partial 16S ribosomal RNA". It matches the Rfam family "Bacterial small subunit ribosomal RNA", at positions 524 to 776 of the family's 1533-position model. The record is from RNAcentral.